GACCCCCCCAGCGAACGUUGUUCGGAAUCACUGGGCUUAAAGGGCGCGUAGGCGGGCUGCCGCGUCCGGGGUGAAAUCCUCCCGCUCAACGGGAGAACGGCCUCGGAUACGGGCGGCCUCGAGGGGGGUAGGGGCGUGCGGAACUGUGGGUGGAGCGGUGAAAUGCGUUGAUAUCCACAGGAACUCCGGUGGCGAAGGCGGCACGCUGGACCCCCACUGACGCUGAGGCGCGAAAGCCAGGGGAGCGAACGGG
Molecule: ribosomal RNA, 253 nt
Filed under: uncultured prokaryote
Description: partial 16S ribosomal RNA
Rfam family: Bacterial small subunit ribosomal RNA
Source: RNAcentral